This 229-nucleotide unclassified non-coding RNA is filed under the name uncultured fungus. RNAcentral's name for it is "sequence contains ITS1, 5.8S rRNA gene". The stretch from base 181 to 229 matches the Rfam family "5.8S ribosomal RNA", at positions 1 to 49 of the family's 154-position model. Lineage: Eukaryota; Fungi. The record is from RNAcentral.
UCUCCGUAGGUGAACCUGCGGAGGGAUCAUUACUGAGUGAGGGCUUCGGUCCGACCUCCAACCCUUUGUGAACCAAACUUGUUGCUUCGGGGGCGACCCUGCCGGCACUCGGUCGCCGGGCGCCCCCGGAGGUCUUCUAAACACUGCAUCUUUGCGUCGGAGUUUAAACAAAUAAAACAAAACUUUCAACAACGGAUCUCUUGGUUCCAGCAUCGAUGAAGAACGCAGC